This 218-nucleotide unclassified non-coding RNA is filed under the name Hevea brasiliensis (rubber tree). Lineage: Eukaryota; Viridiplantae; Streptophyta; Magnoliopsida; Malpighiales; Euphorbiaceae. The record is from RNAcentral.
AAAGAAUCAAGAAGAAUGAGAAGCAUGUAAUGUUCAAUAUCCACAAUAUGUGAAGGUGAAGAAACCAAUGAAGUUGCCAAAAUGUGCUUCAUGGCAAUGGAGGAAAGCUCCAAUGAGGUAACACUAAAUGAUGAUGUUGUUGAAUUUUCUUAUGAUGAACUAGUUAAUGCUCUUAAAGUUAUGAAUGAUAAACUAAAAUUAAGUUAUAAGAGAAAUAA